Molecule: unclassified non-coding RNA, 783 nt
Filed under: Hevea brasiliensis (rubber tree)
Lineage: Eukaryota; Viridiplantae; Streptophyta; Magnoliopsida; Malpighiales; Euphorbiaceae
Source: RNAcentral
GCCAUCACCAAUCUUUUAUCCACCACCAUUACACUCAAACACUCGCCAUUUCUUCUACUGAAACCCUCAACAAAACUCAGAAACCCUAAAAGGCCAACAAUUCGAGCUCAAUCUAAGAACGACGACUCAGUAGAUGGUCCAGAUCGUUUAAUCUCCGCCAUAACUUACUUCUACCCUUUCUUUGAUGGUGUUCAGUACGGUAAAUAUGUAAUCACACAGUUUGCUCCAAUACAAACACUUAUUCAACCUUUAGUACCAGCUAUAAGGGUUUUUAAGAGCUUUCCGCUUAACGGGUUGUUGGUUUUCUUUACACUCUACUUUAUUGUUGUAAGAAAUCCUAAUUUUAGUAGAUAUGUCAGGUUCAACACUAUGCAAGCUAUUGUUCUUGAUGUGCUUCUCAUUUUUCCUGAUUUGUUGGAGAGGAGUUUCAAUCCAAGUGAUGGGUUUGGGUUGGAUUUGAUGAUGAGCUUUGAUAGUACUGUGUUUUUGUUUCUUUUGGUAUCUUUGGUUUAUGGUACUUCGUCUUGCUUGUUGGGUCAGCUACCUAGAUUGCCUAUUGUUGCUGAAGCUGCUGAUAGGCAAGUGCUAUGAACUCGUAAUUUUACUUGUUUAUGAGGUUUCAUCCUCUUUGUACACUUAAUUAUGUUUUGCUUUAGCUGACAAUUAAUAUCUAUUUCGUUCCGAAAGUAAAUGUUUAUGCUCUUUAGAGCCUUGUUCAUGCAUAUCAUUUUGCUGUUUCUUAAUGUGGAUAUGUAUAUUCUUGUAAUGGCAUUUCGGUUUCUU